CACAGAGAAAACCCAAAAGAAACUAAUGACAAAUUGUUAAACAUAGUAAUACAUUCAGCAAGUUUAAAUGUAUGAAAAUCAAUUGCAUUCCUCUACAUCAGCAAUAGUUAUACAAUAUAAUUUUUAAAGUAACAUUUAAAAACAAAAAUAAGGUAUCAAAAAUUUACCAAUAGUUGUGCAGACUUUAAGAAAAAUUUAUAAGCCUUUAUUGAUACUUUAAAAGAGACCUACUAAUAUAUCAUGUAUGUGGAUACAAAUACUCGGAACAUAAAGAUAUCAAUUUUCCUUCAAAUUCAUCACAAUUCCAGAUUCCACCAAGUUUUUGUUUUGUUUUGUGGACUUUAACAAAGAAGGAGUCAUUAGAAUCCUUCCAAAGAAAUGAGAGAACAUAGGGCAAAAAUAACCAGGUCACUCUUGAAGAAAAACUACAAAGUGGGACCUCAUCCUGAUAUUAAGACUUAAUAAUAAAAAUAUUAUAAUUACAAUAGUGUGGUAUUAGCAAAAGAAUAGGGAAAAGAGAACAGUGGAAGGAACAAAGAAUCCAGAAACAGAUCCAGGCCCGUAUGGAAACUUGAGAUUUAACAUCAGUGGCAUUGCAGAUCAGUAGGGAAAGAUAAACCAUUUAAUAAAUACUGCUGAGAUGAUGGGUAUCUAUACAGAGGGAAAAAUAAAAUUGGAUUUCUACCUCACAUGAUGUACAAAAUCUGCCUCAAGUAAAGACCAACAUAUACAAAGUAAAAUCUUCAAACUUUUGGAAUAAAGUAUAGAAGAAUAUUUUUGUGCUUUCAGAGUUGGGAAAGAUUUUGAUAUCAAUAAAUAGAAAAUGAAACCUUUAAGGAAAAGAUUAUGAAUCAAUUAGACCACAUUAACAUUUAAAAUGUCUGUGCAUCUAAAGACACCAUUUUAAAAAGUGAGAGAAGACAAACCACUAACUAGAGAAGACAUUUGCAAUGCAUAUUGGCAACAAAUAUUUAGCAUAGAGUAUGUGUACAUAUAUAUAAAAUGUCUACAAAUCCCUACCAAAAAAUCAAAUAGCAAUUAACAUGAACACACAUGAAAAUGCUCAAUCUCACUAGUAAUAGAAUAAUUGUAAAUAAAAAUAGGCCAGGCGCAGUGGCUCACGCCUGUAAUCCCAGCACUUUUGGAGGCCAAGGCGGGCGGAUCACGAGGUCAGGAGAUCGAGACCAUCCUGGCCAACAUGGUGAAACCCCAUCUCUACUAAAAAUACAAAAAUUAGCUGGGCAUGGUGGUGCACGCCUGUAAUCCCAGCUACUCGGAAGGUGAGGCAGGAUAAUCGCUUGAACCCGGGAGGCGGAGGUUUCAGUGAGCCGAGAUCACGCUACUGCACUCCAGCCUGGCGACAGAUUGAGACUCCGCCUCAAAACAAAACAAACAGUUUGUCAGUUUAUGCGUCCAAGUUUAUGCAUCCAAGUGCAGUUUAAGAUUUUUUUUUCCUUUUUGAGAUGGAGUCUUGCUCUGUCACCUAGGCUGGAGUGCAGUACAACCAUCUUGGCUUGCUGCAACCUCUACUUCCUGGGUUCAAGCAAUUUUCC
RNAcentral lists this long non-coding RNA (1553 nucleotides) under Homo sapiens (human). RNAcentral describes it as "HSALNT0335251". The record is from RNAcentral. Lineage: Eukaryota; Metazoa; Chordata; Mammalia; Primates; Hominidae.